AAAAACGAUAAUCAUUUCAAAAGUCGGGAAAUUGAAUAUCAUUUAUUGAGCAAUUUGAGUUUUAGUUUUAUACGAUAAAGGCAGGAUAUUACUUAAACAGUGACACUGCAUGCUGUUUUAAUCCCGUUGCAACGGAAUCAGUAGUGCAAUAAACCUAACUUGGCUAAACAGUAUGUAAAGUGAGGAGUAAAUUUGGCAUGAUAACGAAAGGCAUUUUUAUUUUGACUGCAGUAUCCCUACAUUAUUACAUUGAUCAGAAAAGCUGGUUGAAAUAGGAAGGCAAGCGAACGUUUGAUUCGAACCGGAUACUGAUCUGGAUGUCGGGAUUGCGUGCAUGUGUAGCGGCAUCAGAAGAGUUUAUUGACCUGAAACCUCUUAUACAAAUCGCUAUGACGUCUCGUGCCCAUCGUACCAUAGCCGACGGUUGCAGUUACAUCGAAGAAAAUCGAAGCGAAUACCAAUCUAAACUGGACACUGAUAUGUUUUUAAUAAGAGACACAAGAGUUGGAUUAAAACGACCUACUUUUUAAGAAACAUGUCGAAUAAAAAAAGUAAAAAUAA
Molecule: long non-coding RNA, 561 nt
Organism: Armigeres subalbatus
Lineage: Eukaryota; Metazoa; Arthropoda; Insecta; Diptera; Culicidae
Exons: 2
Source: RefSeq, a predicted model, not a curated record